AGUUCGAGUCCUAUACUAUGCCUAUCUCUAGAGAGUAGAGCAGUUUGGGAUUUGCUGSUUCAACAUGGGAGGUAGACUCCUUCCRAGGCUAAAUAUUGGCGAGAGACCGAUMGUGAACAAGUACCGUAAGGGAAAKAUGAAAUAGUACUCUGUAAAGGGAGUCAAAAAGUCGUGAAAUUGUUGCGAGAGAACCGAUUCAAGUCAGCCUCAAGCUAGAGCCCCUCUUAGGGCCUUAGCCAAUAAUGCUUCUUGGACUAGCUUUGCCAGCGGUCUUGUCGUUUUCUUAUAUCGACUUGACUUGGCUUCAUGCGCGAGCACCAACAAAGCCCAAGCCCUUGGCUUGACCGUUGUUGAUGAUCACCGAGUGGGAACGCGCUGCUGGCAGAAUGGCUUGCAAUCGACCCGUCUUGAAACACGGACCAAGGAGUCUAACAUGUAUGCGAGUAUAAGGGUGACAAAACCCGUAUGCGCAAUGAAAGUGACUAUCGUUUGCAUGGUUGUUGUGCGCCUGACGACUGGUACGAAAUCAGCUGCUCCUCAGACGGCCACUGCCCAGGUUCUAUGGUAUGAUCCCAUGAACAUGGAGACGGAGCAUACAUGCUAGG
Molecule: ribosomal RNA, 605 nt
Filed under: Cantharellus guyanensis
Lineage: Eukaryota; Fungi; Basidiomycota; Agaricomycetes; Cantharellales; Hydnaceae
Description: eukaryotic LSU rRNA
Rfam family: Eukaryotic large subunit ribosomal RNA
Source: RNAcentral